AGCAGCCGCGGUAAUUCCAGCUCCAAUAGCGUAUAUUAAAGUUGCUGCAGUUAAAAGCUCGUAGUUGAAUUUCGGGACUGAUAUGUCGGUCGUGCCUCGGUACGUACUGGUAUUUUGGUUUCUCCCUUCUGACGAACCUUGAUGUCAUUAAUUUGGUGUCUUGGGAAAUCAGGACUGUUACUUUGAAAAAUUAGAGUGUUUAAAGCAGGCUCACGCUUGAAUACAUUAGCAUGGAAUAAUGAAAUAGGACGUUUGAUUCUAUUUUGUUGGUUUCUAGGAUCGACGUAAUGAUUAAUAGGGAUAGUUGGGGGCAUUAGUAUUCAAUUGUCAGAGGUGAAAUUCUUGGAUUUAUUGAAGACUAACUACUGCGAAAGCAUUUGCCAAGGAUGUUUUCAUUAAUCAAGAACGAAAGUUAGGGGAUCGAAGACGAUCAGAUACCGUCGUAGUCUUAACCAUAAACUAUGCCGACUAGGGAUCGGAUGAUGUAAUUUUUAAUGACUCAUUCGGCGCCUUACGGGAA
Molecule: ribosomal RNA, 520 nt
Filed under: uncultured Glomus
Lineage: Eukaryota; Fungi; Glomeromycota; Glomeromycetes; Glomerales; Glomeraceae
Description: SSU rRNA
Rfam family: Eukaryotic small subunit ribosomal RNA
Source: RNAcentral